AGUGGGAUAGCUGGGCCAAAUGGUGGUUUCAUUCCAUGUUUUCAAGGAAUCUCCAUACUGCUUUCCAUAUUGGCUGCACCAAUUUGCAGUCCCACUAGCAAU
Molecule: microRNA precursor, 102 nt
Filed under: Marmota monax (woodchuck)
Lineage: Eukaryota; Metazoa; Chordata; Mammalia; Rodentia; Sciuridae
Source: RNAcentral